GACGAACGCUGGCGGCGUGCUUAACACAUGUAAGUCGAACGGAAAGGCCCUGCUUUUGUGGGGUGCUCGAGUGGCGAACGGGUGAGUAACACGUGAGUAACCUGCCCUUGACUUUGGGAUAACUUCAGGAAACUGGGGCUAAUACCGGAUAGGAGCUCCUGCUGCAUGGUGGGGGUUGGAAAGUUUCGGCGGUUGGGGAUGGACUCGCGGCUUAUCAGCUUUGUGGUGGGGUAGUGGCUUACCACGGCUUUGACGGGUAGCCGGCCUGAAAGGGUGACCGGCCACAUUGGGACUGAGAUACGGCACAGACUCCUACGGGAGGCAGCAGUGGGGAAUAUUGAACAAGGGGCGGAAGCCUGAGGCAGCAAAGCCGCGUGCGGGAUGACGGCCUUCGGGGUGUAAACCGCUGUCGCCUGUGACGAAGCGUGAGUGACGGUAAUGGGUAAAGAAGCACCGGCUAACUACGUG
This 468-nucleotide ribosomal RNA is filed under the name uncultured bacterium. RNAcentral's name for it is "partial 16S ribosomal RNA". It matches the Rfam family "Bacterial small subunit ribosomal RNA", at positions 28 to 507 of the family's 1533-position model. The record is from RNAcentral.